UACAGAGGGCUCAAGCGUUGUUCGGAUUCAUUGGGCGUAAAGGGUGCGCAGGCGGCGCCGCAAGUCGGGUGUGAAAUUUCGGAGCUUAACUUCGAAACUGCAUUCGAUACUGCGGUGCUUGAGGACUGGAGAGGAGGCUGGAAUUCAUGGUGUAGCAGUGAAAUGCGUAGAGAUCAUGAGGAAGACCAGUGGCGAAGGCGGGUCUCUGGACAGUUCCUGACGCUGAGGCACGAAGGCCAGGGGAGCAAACGGG
RNAcentral lists this ribosomal RNA (253 nucleotides) under uncultured bacterium. RNAcentral describes it as "partial 16S ribosomal RNA". It matches the Rfam family "Bacterial small subunit ribosomal RNA", at positions 524 to 776 of the family's 1533-position model. The record is from RNAcentral.